GUGUUGUAUGAAAGGAGAGAAGGUUAGCACCCUCCUUGACAAAGAUGGCAGAGGCCCUCAGGCCUGACAAAUAAGCAUACAGUUCAGGCACUGUCACUUUCUUAGAAGCAUCUAAACACCAUGUGAGC
Small nuclear RNA from Heterocephalus glaber (naked mole-rat), 128 nucleotides. The record is from Ensembl. NCBI's taxonomy places the organism in Eukaryota, Metazoa, Chordata, Mammalia, Rodentia, Bathyergidae.